Long non-coding RNA from Herpailurus yagouaroundi (jaguarundi), 934 nucleotides. RefSeq lists it as uncharacterized. The transcript is spliced from 2 exons. NCBI's taxonomy places the organism in Eukaryota, Metazoa, Chordata, Mammalia, Carnivora, Felidae. The record is from RefSeq and is a predicted model, not a curated record.
CAUGACCUGAGCCGAAGUCGGACACUUAACCGACUGAGCCACCCAGGCGCCCCUGGAAAAGUAGUUUUUAAAUAGAGUCCUCACAGACCAGUUUACUCCUUACGAUACUUGCCCUGUAAGAGAAGGUGUCCACCAGAGCAGGCUACUCCCUCACCAGCUGUUUGUUAAGCCUGUCCCUGAGGGGAGACUGGACCCGCUCUUGCCUGAAGGCGGGGUUCCUGAAAUUCCUGGAUUACCGAUUACCGGGGGGGCUUGACAUUUGGUAUGCAUAGUCAGACCAGACUUCCACAGUCACUUUUACAUGAAGUCGGAUAUUCCAUGUCGGGUUUUUAUUUUUGUCAGUGACAGGUGUUGUUACUUACUGUCAGAAUCAAACAAUAAGGGCUUGCGUUUUGGGCUUUUCGGAGCACGUAAGAGUGUGGGCUCUAGCAACAAAUGUUCAAAUUUAGGUCACACAGAGCCGUUAUGGUUAAAAAAAAAAAAAAGUUUGUAUUUACUCUGGAAUUUAUCUGCAUACCUGUUUUUUUGUUUUUGAAAUGUGAUUUUUCUUUUUUCUGUCCAUAAAGUCUGUUAACUCAUUUUGAGAAGGCAUGAAGGCCAAACCACUUGGAAUUGCUUGCUGCAUGAUGUCUAAGAUUCCCUUUAUUUAUCUUUGUGACAGACACAUUUGUAAUAACACUAAAUGACUCACGAGGUCAAGCCUUUUAAGGAUGUUUGAGGUCUUACUUUUUAAGGUGGUUGUUAUAGUAAACAGUUUUUUAAAAAAUCUUUGUUUUUUUAUCAUCACAAAAUUAAAUAAAUACAGAAGAGUAAAAAGGGAGACGCGUAGCUCCCUUUCUGCCUACCCCAAUCCUGUUUCCUUACACUUCCUAAACACUGUUAAUGAUUCACUGUGUCCUCUCAGGGUUUUCUGUGUUAGUACAGUCAUUUUUUU